Molecule: long non-coding RNA, 1046 nt
Filed under: Pan troglodytes (chimpanzee)
Lineage: Eukaryota; Metazoa; Chordata; Mammalia; Primates; Hominidae
Description: long non-coding RNA NONPTRT017898
Source: RNAcentral
UUGGGGCUUCCUGGUCUGAGCUCUAGCUCACGAUUCUCCUGGUGGUUUUUGGUGCUGCCUCUGACUCUGUGUCCUUCCUUGUCCCACUCAGUAUGAAAAUGAGUUAACCCUGCACCUGGGCGAGAUCUGCACAAUGUGGACCCUCCAGGUGGGCACUCAGGAGCAUAUGGUGGCAUCCCUGGACCAGGCUUCCAGAGCAGACACAUACCCUACAGCACCACCUUCCUGUGUAACCACUGGUUCUUCGUCUCUACCCCACAGUUCCUGGACUGGGUAUUCAAUAGGUGGGAGCCUGUCCCUUCCACAGCACAGUGGGGACUCUGCCACCAGCUAGCUGUGUGUCUCAGGAAUUUUGCUGCACCUCUCUUAGCCUCAAUUUGCUCCUCUGAGAAGAAAGGUGGUAAGAGGAUGAAUCUCACAGGGUUCUUGCAGGGACUAAAUGGGGUGAGCCAUGGCAGGUGCUGACCUGGUGCUUGGCUCUGUGGAAAUGGCUGCCAGAUGUGCUGUGGCUGUUAUUUAUUUUUUGAACAUGAAGUAGCUCUCUGCCUCACUCGUGGCCGUCCUAUGUUUGGGAAAGCAUAUGGAAAGCAAACCUGUUUUCCCAUUUGUGAAGAGGGUUUGAGUUUCCACAUGGCUGAUCCCUGUGCUUGGGGUACCCAGAACAGGGCUCCCUGGGGGCUGGUGGAGGGGCCCUACGCUAAUUCAGAUAUCUGGGAAAAUUCUGGUUGGGGUUCAUUCUUUCAACAAAUAUACACUGAGCACCUACUUUGUGCAGGUACUUUUCUGCCUGCAGAAGGCACUCCCUGGGGAUUGUCUGAAUUCUGGCUGGGGAGUCAUGGGUGCACUAGACAUCAUAAGCAGGCUGCGUCCACAGUAUGUUGACAUUGUGAUGUCCUCCUGGCCUCUUCCAGAUACACAUGCAUCCUGCCAUAUUCUGACAGAGAUGAUGGACCUCAGGAUCAACUAAAAAUGUAGCCCUUCAGAGCAAGAGUCACUGGCAAGACCCAGCCCAUGCAGGUUCUAUGCCUGCCCUGCCUGAAGACCAG